UGGUGGCGACCGGCGCACGGGUGCGUAACGCGUAUGCAAUCUACCCUAUACUGAGGGAUAGCCCGGAGAAAUUCGGAUUAAUACUUCAUAGCAUUUAUGAAUCGCAUGGUUUAUAAAUUAAAGGUUACGGUAUAGGAUGAGCAUGCGUCCCAUUAGCUAGAUGGUAAGGUAACGGCUUACCAUGGCAACGAUGGGUAGGGGGCCUGAGAGGGUGGUCCCCCACACUGGUACUGAGACACGGACCAGACUCC
Molecule: ribosomal RNA, 251 nt
Filed under: uncultured bacterium
Lineage: Bacteria
Description: partial 16S ribosomal RNA
Rfam family: Bacterial small subunit ribosomal RNA
Source: RNAcentral